GUUUGAUCCUGGCUCAGAGCGAACGUUAGCGGCGCGCCUAACACAUGCAAGUCGCACGAGAAAGGGGGCAACCCCCGGUACAGUGGCGCACGGGUGAGUAACACGUGGGUGAUCUGCCCAGAAGAAGGGGAUAACCUCUCGAAAGGGGGGCUAAUACCGCAUAGGACCACCGGGGCUCUGGCUCUGUGGUGAAAGGGGGCCUCUGUUUACAAGCUCCUGCUUCUGGAUGAGCCCGCGUCCCAUCAGCUAGUUGGUAGGGUAAUGGCCUACCAAGGCUACGACGGGUAGCUGGUCUAAGAGGAUGGCCAGCCACACUGGAACUGAGACACGGUCCAGACUCCUACGGGAGGCAGCAGUGGGGAAUCUUGCGCAAUGGGCGAAAGCCUGACGCAGCGACGCCGCGUGGGUGACGAAGGCCUUC
Molecule: ribosomal RNA, 421 nt
Filed under: uncultured bacterium
Lineage: Bacteria
Description: bacterial SSU rRNA
Rfam family: Bacterial small subunit ribosomal RNA
Source: RNAcentral